Molecule: ribosomal RNA, 1177 nt
Filed under: Bacillus pumilus
Lineage: Bacteria; Bacillati; Bacillota; Bacilli; Caryophanales; Bacillaceae
Description: bacterial SSU rRNA
Rfam family: Bacterial small subunit ribosomal RNA
Source: RNAcentral
CCCCGGCCCCAGACUCCUUCGGGGGGGCAGCCAGUAGGGAAUCUUUCCGCCAUGGCCGAAAAUUUUGACGGAGCAACCCCCGCGUGAGUGAUGAAGGUUUUCGGAUCGUAAAACUUCUGUUGUUAGGGAAGAACAAGUGCGAGAGUAACUGCUCGCACCUUGACGGUACCUAACCAGAAAGCCACGGCUAACUACGUGCCAGCAGCCGCGGUAAUACGUAGGUGGCAAGCGUUGUCCGGAAUUAUUGGGCGUAAAGGGCUCGCAGGCGGUUUCUUAAGUCUGAUGUGAAAGCCCCCGGCUCAACCGGGGAGGGUCAUUGGAAACUGGGAAACUUGAGUGCAGAAGAGGAGAGUGGAAUUCCACGUGUAGCGGUGAAAUGCGUAGAGAUGUGGAGGAACACCAGUGGCGAAGGCGACUCUCUGGUCUGUAACUGACGCUGAGGAGCGAAAGCGUGGGGAGCGAACAGGAUUAGAUACCCUGGUAGUCCACGCCGUAAACGAUGAGUGCUAAGUGUUAGGGGGUUUCCGCCCCUUAGUGCUGCAGCUAACGCAUUAAGCACUCCGCCUGGGGAGUACGGUCGCAAGACUGAAACUCAAAGGAAUUGACGGGGGCCCGCACAAGCGGUGGAGCAUGUGGUUUAAUUCGAAGCAACGCGAAGAACCUUACCAGGUCUUGACAUCCUCUGACAACCCUAGAGAUAGGGCUUUCCCUUCGGGGACAGAGUGACAGGUGGUGCAUGGUUGUCGUCAGCUCGUGUCGUGAGAUGUUGGGUUAAGUCCCGCAACGAGCGCAACCCUUGAUCUUAGUUGCCAGCAUUUAGUUGGGCACUCUAAGGUGACUGCCGGUGACAAACCGGAGGAAGGUGGGGAUGACGUCAAAUCAUCAUGCCCCUUAUGACCUGGGCUACACACGUGCUACAAUGGACAGAACAAAGGGCUGCAAGACCGCAAGGUUUAGCCAAUCCCAUAAAUCUGUUCUCAGUUCGGAUCGCAGUCUGCAACUCGACUGCGUGAAGCUGGAAUCGCUAGUAAUCGCGGAUCAGCAUGCCGCGGUGAAUACGUUCCCGGGCCUUGUACACACCGCCCGUCACACCACGAGAGUUUGCAACACCCGAAGUCGGUGAGGUAACCUUUAUGGAGCCAGCCGCCGAAGGUGGGGCAGAUGAUUGGGGGAAGUC